This 520-nucleotide ribosomal RNA is filed under the name uncultured Paraglomus. RNAcentral's name for it is "bacterial SSU rRNA". It matches the Rfam family "Eukaryotic small subunit ribosomal RNA", at positions 569 to 1086 of the family's 1831-position model. The record is from RNAcentral. Lineage: Eukaryota; Fungi; Glomeromycota; Glomeromycetes; Paraglomerales; Paraglomeraceae.
AGCAGCCGCGGUAAUUCCAGCUCCAAUAGCGUAUAUUAAAGUUGUUGCAGUUAAAAAGCUCGUAGUUGAACUUCAGGCCUGGCUGGACGGUCCGCCCUCUGGGUGAGCACUGUCUGUGGUCGGGUCCUACCUUCUGGCGAAGCGGCAUGGCCUUAACCGGCCGUGGCGGGGAACCAGGACUUUUACUGUGAAAAAAUUAGAGUGUUCAAAGCAGGCACGCGCUUGAAUACAUUAGCAUGGAAUAAUGGAAUGGGACAAUGGUUCUAUUUGUUGGUUUCUAGGACCGUUGUAAUGAUUAAUAGGGAUAGUUGGGGGCAUUAGUAUUCAAUUGUCAGAGGUGAAAAUUCUUGGAUUUAUUGAAGACUAACUACUGCGAAAGCAUUUGCCAAGGAUGUUUUCAUUAAUCAAGAACGAAAGUUAGGGAUCGAAGACGAUCAGAUACCGUGUAGUCUUAACCGAUAAACUAUGACCGACUAGGAAUCAGACGAUAGUUAAUUUUUAAUGUACUUCGGUUUGGCUA